Molecule: long non-coding RNA, 329 nt
Organism: Diospyros lotus (date-plum)
Lineage: Eukaryota; Viridiplantae; Streptophyta; Magnoliopsida; Ericales; Ebenaceae
Exons: 3
Source: RefSeq, a predicted model, not a curated record
CAAAAAAAUGCUGAAAAUCGAUUCAAAUUGACAAUUCCACACACAGGAGGGUCGAAAAGUCUAGCAAGGAAAAAAUAUGAGAUGGAAAUUGAGAGUGGCCAGCCUGUGAGUAGGGGUUUAUUAUACAUUGCGACGCAUAAGAAGAAAGAUGGAUCUUUUGUGAAUGAAGGAGCACGAACUAUAAGCGAGAAAAUUUCUGAGAUUGAGAGCCAAGGCACGUCUUCACAGUCAGUCUCCUUAAAUGAUUCACUUGCUCGUGUGCUAGGAAAAGAACAUUCAGGCCGAGUUCGAGGUUUGGGCUUCGAUCCUAGUCCAAACCAAGUUUUUGG